AAUCGUGUAACGAGUUGACCGCUGUCUCAACGAGGAGCUCAGCGAAGUUGUAGUGGCGGUGAAGAUGCCGCCUACCCGCAGUAGGACGGAAAGACCCUAUGCACCUUUACUACACGCUGUUACUGUUGUUUCGGUUUCGAUGCUUAGCGUAAGUGGGAGGCUUUGAAGCCCCGAUUUUGGUCGGGGCUGAGCCGACAAUGAAACACCACCCUUCGGUACUGGAAUAACUAACCUUUGCCCGUAAAUCCGGGAAAGGGACACUGGCAGCCGGCUAGUUUUACUGGGGCGGUAUCCUCCCAAAGAGUAACGGAGGAGUACGAAGGUUGGCUCAACCUGGUUGGCAAUCAGGUGUCGAGUAUAUGGAUAUAAGCCAGCUUAACUGUGAGACACACACGUCGAGCAGAUACGAAAGUAGGUCCAAGUGAUCCGGUGGUUGAAUGUGGAAUUGCCAUCGCUCAACGGACAAAAGGUACGCUAGGGAUAACAGGCUGAUCCUGCCCAAGAGCUCAUAUCGACGGCAGGGUUUGGCACCUCGAUGUCGGCUCAUCACAUCCUGGGGCUGGAGAAGGUCCCAAGGGUCCGGCUGUUCGCCGGUUAAAGUGGUACGCGAGCUGGGUUCAGAACGUCGCGAGACAGUUCGGUCCUUAUCCACUGUGGGCGCAGGAGAUUUGAGGGGUUCAGACCUUAGUACGAGAGGACCGGGUCUGACGAACCGCUGGUGUUCCAGUUGUUCUGUCAAGAGCAGUGCUGGGUAGCUAUGUUCGGAAAGGAUAAGCGCUGAAAGCAUCUAAGCGCCAAGCCUAUCCCAAGAUGAGAUCUCCCUGAAGGGUCGUGGUAGACUACCACGUUGAUAGGUCUCCGGUGCAAGUGCAGUAAUGUAUUCAGCUGAGAGAUACUAAUAACCCGUUCGGCUUGAUCAUUUACUUUUCU
Molecule: ribosomal RNA, 930 nt
Filed under: Verrucomicrobiota bacterium
Lineage: Bacteria; Pseudomonadati; Verrucomicrobiota
Description: bacterial LSU rRNA
Rfam family: Bacterial large subunit ribosomal RNA
Source: RNAcentral